GACGAACGCGGGCGGCGUGCUUAACACAUGCGAGUCGAACGGAAAGGCCCUGCUUUUGUGGGGUGCUCGAGUGGCGAACGGGUGAGUAACACGUGAGUAACCUGCCCUUGACUUUGGGAUAACUUCAGGAAACUGGGGCUAAUACCGGAUAGGAGCUCCUGCUGCAUGGUGGGGGUUGGAAAGUUUCGGCGGUUGGGGAUGGACUCGCGGCUUAUCAGCUUGUUGGUGGGGUAGUGGCUUACCAAGGCUUUGACGGGUAGCCGGCCUGAGAGGGUGACCGGCCACUUUGGGACUGAGAUACGGCCCAGACUCCUACGGGAGGCAGCAGUGGGGAAUAUUGCACAAUGGGCGGAAGCCUGAUGCAGCAACGCCGCGUGCGGGAUGACGGCCUUCGGGUUGUAAACCGCUUUCGCCUGUGACGAAGCGUGAGUGACGGUAAUGGGUAAAGAAGCACCGGCUAACUACGUG
This 468-nucleotide ribosomal RNA is filed under the name uncultured bacterium. RNAcentral describes it as "partial 16S ribosomal RNA". It matches the Rfam family "Bacterial small subunit ribosomal RNA", at positions 28 to 507 of the family's 1533-position model. The record is from RNAcentral.